AUUGAACGCUGGCGGCAUGCUUUACACAUGCAAGUCGAACGGUAACAGGUUAAGCUGACGAGUGGCGAACGGGUGAGUAAUGCAUCGGAACGUGCCCGAUCGUGGGGGAUAACGCAGCGAAAGCUGCGCUAAUACCGCAUACGAUCUGAGGAUGAAAGCGGGGGACCGUAAGGCCUCGCGCGAUCGGAGCGGCCGAUGUCAGAUUAGGUAGUUGGUGGGGUAAAGGCCCACCAAGCCGACGAUCUGUAGCUGGUCUGAGAGGACGACCAGCCACACUGGGACUGAGACACGGCCCAGACUCCUACGGGAGGCAGCAGUGGGGAAUUUUGGACAAUGGGCGAAAGCCUGAUCCAGCAAUGCCGCGUGCAGGAAGAAGGCCUUCGGGUUGUAAACUGCUUUUGUACGGAGCGAAAAGGUCCUUUCUAGUACAAGGGGCUCAUGACGGUACCGUAAGAAUAAGCACCGGCUAACUACGUGCCAGCCGCCGCCGUAA
RNAcentral lists this ribosomal RNA (493 nucleotides) under uncultured bacterium. Its description in RNAcentral is "partial 16S ribosomal RNA". It matches the Rfam family "Bacterial small subunit ribosomal RNA", at positions 30 to 523 of the family's 1533-position model. The record is from RNAcentral.